UGGGGAAUCUUGGACAAUGGGGGCAACCCUGAUCCAGCCAUGCCGCGUGAGUGAUGAAGGCCUUAGGGUCGUAAAGCUCUUUCGCCUGUGAAGAUAAUGACGGUAGCAGGUAAAGAAACCCCGGCUAACUCCGUGCCAGCAGCCGCGGUAAUACGGAGGGGGUUAGCGUUGUUCGGAAUUACUGGGCGUAAAGCGCACGUAGGCGGACCAGAAAGUUGGGGGUGAAAUCCCGGGGGCUCAACCCCGGAACUGCCUCCAAAACUAUUGGUCUAGAGUUCGAGAGAGGUGAGUGGAAUUCCAAGUGUAGAGGUGAAAUUCGUAGAUAUUUGGAGGAACACCAGUGGCGAAGGCGGCUCACUGGCUCGAUACUGACGCUGAGGUGCGAAAGUGUGGGGGAGCAAAACAGGAUUAGAUACCCCUGGUAGUCCACACCGUAAAACGAUGAAUGCCAGUCGUCGGGGUAGCAUGCUAUUCGGUGACACACCUAACGGAUUAAGCAUUCCGGCCUGGGGAGUACGGUCGCAAGGUUAAAA
This 533-nucleotide ribosomal RNA is filed under the name uncultured bacterium. Its description in RNAcentral is "bacterial SSU rRNA". It matches the Rfam family "Bacterial small subunit ribosomal RNA", at positions 355 to 899 of the family's 1533-position model. The record is from RNAcentral.